Drosophila santomea is the source of this 1451-nucleotide long non-coding RNA. RefSeq lists it as uncharacterized. The transcript has 3 exons. The record is from RefSeq and is a predicted model, not a curated record. Lineage: Eukaryota; Metazoa; Arthropoda; Insecta; Diptera; Drosophilidae.
AUUACGUGCCCAAUACUCAAUUUGGCCAUAUUUAAAUUCAUCGUCUAUUCCAGCCAGCCGGCGGCCAUUUCGUAUGCACAAGAAGAAGGCAUCCUCGGCGGAGGCAAGUUCCCAAGUUCCCAUGAGUACAUGAGAAGUCGCAGGCAGAUCUAUUGAGUGGUUAUUUGAAUUGAACUUUGAGGUUGAAUUCGCUUCAUUUUUGUGUUAUUUAUUAUGCCCAAACUUAGCCCCAGGCGCACACGAGCUGGGCCAAAAGUGUUGAAGUAAAAUGAAAUACAACCCGGCCAGCUCUGCAAAAGAAAGAAAAAUGAACAAGAAGUAGAAUGUUUAGGCCAAUGUGGGCCGGGUUAUAAAUUCUGGCCAUAGGCCUGUCACACACGGUAAACUUCAAACUGUAACGAGACGGAACUGAUGUCACCUGAGCUGGAUGCCAAGGCUUUUGCGCUCAAUUUGACAGACAGCAGUGGGUUUGGUUACCCAGGUUGGAAAGGUUGGCCAGGUGGCUGGGCUGCGGAUGAGCUCGUUACUAAGUUCGAAGCCGAGACAUCUGUCCUGGCAGUCCUGGUGGUACUGGCGCAAUCCCGAUAGUCCUGCCAGACCGGAAACGUUGACAGCCAAACGAGUUUGAUGGAUGCGAGUGCAAUUCACUGAAAUACUUGUUUUCCAUUGCAAUCAGCUUCAGAUUGCAAGUUGUUUUUCGCUAUUGAGUCGUAAACACGCCAGUCUAUAAAUGAAUGCCAGUUUUACUAUAAAUUUGAGAUAGAAAAAUCUGUGGGCUGUCAGUGCGGCUGAUGAUUAAGUAAUUAGCGAAACGCUGGCGAACGAGGCCAAUUAGCUGAAGAGCGGAAAUUAAGCACACAUCACAUUAGCCAGCGAUGCGAUCAAGAGUUGUUCGAAGGGCUCGAAGGAUUCGAAGGACUCGGCGGGCUGGCUGCAUUUCUUUUGCCGCUUUUUGUGUGGCAAUUAGCACGCCCCGCCGCACUUGCCAGCGCAUCUGGGGACCUUGGCAGCCGCAUUUUCCCGCCGGAGAGAGAGAGCGAAAUCCGGACUCCAAGCCCCGAAACCCGGACCACCAACAACCCGGCAAGGAGCUGCAUAAAGCGCACAUUGAAAAUUAAUUGCGCCCAGCCCCGAAUGCGAGCAUAUCCGUGUGGCAGGUACAUAUCCUGCGUGCGUGAGCAGCAAACCGCAGGAUGCGGAGCGCAGGAUGUGCAGGAUGGGGAAAGGGAGGCCACUGCGGUGGCCGUGUGGUGUGCCUUUUAUGAAAAAUUAAUUUGCCCUUUGUACCGCAAUAAUAUUCCCCUUGAUCCCAACAAAUUCCCCUCCACUGCUCGGUGUGCUGGCAACCGGAGCGUAUGAUUAAUUUUUUGUACUGUUCGCAACGAGGUGGUGACUCCAAGAUUUUUCGGCUUAAGUGCUCCCGCAUUCGCAUGCCAAUUAAGCGCCAUUGA